This 1080-nucleotide long non-coding RNA is filed under the name Anser brachyrhynchus (Pink-footed goose). RNAcentral describes it as "lncRNA (ENSABRG00000006079.1)". Lineage: Eukaryota; Metazoa; Chordata; Aves; Anseriformes; Anatidae. The record is from RNAcentral.
CCCGCACCCCCCCGCAGCACCCCGCAGCCGGCCGCGAGCCGCGGGGCUGCGGUGCCACCUAGCGGGGUGCUGGCUGCCGCCGGCCGGCCUCGCACCGCCUCGCCUCGGCUUCGCGGGCCCCCCCCGCACCCCGCGUGGGUGAUUUCGGUUACAGCAGGGGCCGUGCGGCCGGCCCGUGGGUGCAGCGGGCGCGGUGCGUGCUCGGGGCGCUGCGUGGUCAGCGCCGGGUGCCCGGGGCAGGUAGAGGGGCCAGGUAAAAGGAGGGCACCCCGGUGGCUGUGCCCCGGCUCAGCGCCUCCAGCCCGUCCCAGUCCGUUCCGCCAGGCCUUUCAAGCAAACAGGGCGAGCUACAAAAGAGGAGCACCCUUUCUGAGGUCAGGGUGGUGAGAAGCGAACCCGCCGCGUUAAAACUCAGAGCCCGGGAUGCCAGCGCCAGGAGUUUUGCCAGUUUCUGUCACCUGCCUUAAAAAUGAGUACCUGGAAAACCUCGCCAUCCCCCAAAACGACAGCAGAAAAGCAGGCAACUCCCAAAGCACGUUAGGGCCGAGAUUAAAUACCACCACCACUCAACACCGAGCGUUUUCCCCAGGUGUUGCGGUGAGGGUUGGCAGGUCCACCAGGCAUUGCCGUAGGUGCCACAUCUCCCACGGCACAUCUCGUCAGCUGAAAAUCCUCCCGCUGGGGUCAGGCGGGGCACUUAGCCCACCUCCAGGGCCAAGUCCUCCUCGGAGGAGGAUUGACUCCUCCGCACCGCUUCUCAACACAUCCCCUUGUUUCUGCAGCCAAAAUAGCGCAGAAACAUCUGCAAUUUCUAUUGGCUUUAUCAAAACUAAGCUUUUAUCUUUCAUUGCUUGAAAAAAGUACCAGUCAUCUGAAAUGUGUGCACACCUGCGAUACCUCAGAGGAAGAAGAGGCAGCUUCUCCAAUGCGGGACGUUUUAUCAUCGGCAGCUGGCAAAUGGUCAAGCUCAGCGGAACGGCUCGGUUGCUUCACGCACGUGAUUCAAGAUGCUGAAGUUAUGGGUGACUUUUAAGUGAUUCACAUUACAAAGCAAUAAACGCAACGAGAUCACCUGGCCCA